Molecule: small RNA, 170 nt
Filed under: Salmonella enterica
Lineage: Bacteria; Pseudomonadati; Pseudomonadota; Gammaproteobacteria; Enterobacterales; Enterobacteriaceae
Also listed under: 4 other names
Description: RtT sRNA
Rfam family: tRNA (bases 1-66)
Source: RNAcentral
UAGCUCAGUUGGUAGAGCAGUUGACUUUUAAUCAAUUGGUCGCAGGUUCGAAUCCUGCACGACCCACCAAUAUACAAGGUGGUAACUGGUAGAGAACGUGAAGGAUAACGUUGCUUUAGCAACGGCGCCGAAGGGCGAGGCGAAGCCGAGUCAUCCUGCACGACCCACCA